This 245-nucleotide ribosomal RNA is filed under the name uncultured Anoxybacillus sp. Its description in RNAcentral is "partial 16S ribosomal RNA". It matches the Rfam family "Bacterial small subunit ribosomal RNA", at positions 1139 to 1382 of the family's 1533-position model. The record is from RNAcentral. Lineage: Bacteria; Bacillati; Bacillota; Bacilli; Caryophanales; Anoxybacillaceae.
UCUAAGGUGACUGCCGGCUAAAAGUCGGAGGAAGGUGGGGAUGACGUCAAAUCAUCAUGCCCUUAUGACCUGGGCUACACACGUGCUACAAUGGGCGGUACAAAGGGUCGCGAACCCGCGAGGGGGAGCCAAUCCCAAAAAGCCGCUCUCAGUUCGGAUUGCAGGCUGCAACUCGCCUGCAUGAAGCCGGAAUCGCUAGUAAUCGCGGAUCAGCAUGUCGCGGUGAAUACCGGUUCCCGGGUCUU